UACGGAGGGGGCAAGCGUUACUCGGAAUUAUUGGGCGUAAAGGGCGCGUAGGCGGUCGUGCGCGUCGGAGGUGAAAUCCCCGGGCUUAACCCGGGAGCUGCCUCCGAUACGGCAUGGCUUGAGUCCGGGAGAGGGGAGCAGAAUUCCCAGUGUAGCGGUGAAAUGCGUAGAGAUGCGGAGGAACACCGAUGGCGAAGGCAGCCCCCUGGGCCAACACUGACGCUCAGGCACGAAAGCGUGGGGAGCAAACAGG
Molecule: ribosomal RNA, 253 nt
Filed under: uncultured bacterium
Lineage: Bacteria
Description: partial 16S ribosomal RNA
Rfam family: Bacterial small subunit ribosomal RNA
Source: RNAcentral